UGGAGGAUGAAGGCCUCUGGGUUGUAACUUCUUUUAUAUGGGACGAAAAAGGGCCUUUCUAGGUCAACUGACGGUACCAUAUGAAUAAGCACCGGCUAACUCCGUGCCAGCAGCCGCGGUAAUACGGAGGGUGCAAGCGUUAUCCGGAUUCACUGGGUUUAAAGGGUGCGUAGGUGGGUWKGUAAGUCAGUGGUGAAAUCUCCGAGCUUAACUUGGAAACUGCCAUUGAUACUAUCAGUCUUGAAUAUUGUGGAGGUAAKCGGAAUAUGUCAUGUAGCGGUGAAAUSCUUAGAUAUGACAKAGAACACCAAUUGCGAAGGCAGCU
RNAcentral lists this ribosomal RNA (325 nucleotides) under uncultured Flavobacterium sp. RNAcentral's name for it is "bacterial SSU rRNA". It matches the Rfam family "Bacterial small subunit ribosomal RNA", at positions 402 to 726 of the family's 1533-position model. The record is from RNAcentral. Lineage: Bacteria; Pseudomonadati; Bacteroidota; Flavobacteriia; Flavobacteriales; Flavobacteriaceae.